UUAAUUAAAACCAAAAUAGAGGUAUAUCACUGUUAAUGAUAAAAAUGAGUCUCAACUCUAAUUAAA
This 66-nucleotide transfer RNA is filed under the name Clanoptilus assimilis. RNAcentral's name for it is "tRNA-Asn". The record is from RNAcentral. Lineage: Eukaryota; Metazoa; Arthropoda; Insecta; Coleoptera; Melyridae.